Molecule: ribosomal RNA, 253 nt
Filed under: uncultured bacterium
Lineage: Bacteria
Description: partial 16S ribosomal RNA
Rfam family: Bacterial small subunit ribosomal RNA
Source: RNAcentral
UACGGAGGGUGCAAACGUUGCUCGGAAUCAUUGGGCGUAAAGCGCACGUAGGCGGCCUGUUAAGUCGGAUGUGAAAGCCCCGGGCUCAACCCGGGAAGUGCAUACGAAACUGGCGGGCUUGAAUAUGGAAGAGGGUCGCGGAAUUCCCGGUGUAGAGGUGAAAUGCGUAGAUAUCGUAAGGAAGACCAGUGGCGAAGGCGAAUCUCUGGACAGUUACUGACACUGAGGCACGAAGGCCAGGGGAGCAAACGGG